ACUCAUGGCCAUAACACCCUGACAACGCCCUAUCCCGUCUGAUCGUGGGAGCUAAGCAGCAUCAGUCCUGCUUAGUACUUGGACGGGAGACCGCCUGGGAUUGCCAGGUGCUGUAAGAU
This 119-nucleotide ribosomal RNA is filed under the name Takifugu rubripes (torafugu). RNAcentral also lists the same sequence under 2 other names. Lineage: Eukaryota; Metazoa; Chordata; Actinopteri; Tetraodontiformes; Tetraodontidae. The record is from RNAcentral.